This 538-nucleotide ribosomal RNA is filed under the name uncultured Emiliania. Its description in RNAcentral is "bacterial SSU rRNA". It matches the Rfam family "Bacterial small subunit ribosomal RNA", at positions 90 to 659 of the family's 1533-position model. The record is from RNAcentral. Lineage: Eukaryota; Haptophyta; Isochrysidales; Noelaerhabdaceae.
CUUUAGUGGCGAACGGGUGCGUAAUACGUGAGAAUCUGCCCUUAGGAGGAGAAUAACUUCUGGAAACGGUUGCUAAGUCUCCAUAUGCCGAGAGGUGAAAUAGUUUAUACUGCCUAGGGAUGAGCUCACGCCUGAUUAGCUUGUUGGUAAGGUAAUGGCUUACCAAGGCCACGAUCAGUAGCUGGUUUGAGAGAACGAUCAGCCACACUGGGACUGAGACACGGCCCAGACUCCUCCGGGAGGCAGCAGUGAGGAAUUUUCCGCAAUGGGCGAAAGCCUGACGGAGCAAUACCGCGUGAGGGAUGAAGGAUUUUGGUCUGUAAACCUCUUUUCUCAAGAAAGAAGUUCUGACGGUACCUGAGGAAUAAGCAUCGGCUAACUCCGUGCCAGCAGCCGCGGUAAUACGGGGGAUGCAAGCGUUAUCCGGAAUCAUUGGGCGUAAAGCGCCUGUAGGUUGUUUAAUAAGUCUGUUGUUAAAGACUAGGGCUUAACCCUAGGAAAGCAAUGGAAACUGCUAGACUUGAGUAUGAUAGGGGUA